GCCACAUGAUGAGAGAGAUGAG
RNAcentral lists this microRNA (22 nucleotides) under Petromyzon marinus (sea lamprey). RNAcentral describes it as "pma-miR-4555". Lineage: Eukaryota; Metazoa; Chordata; Hyperoartia; Petromyzontiformes; Petromyzontidae. The record is from miRBase by way of RNAcentral.